RNAcentral lists this ribosomal RNA (475 nucleotides) under uncultured Anoxybacillus sp. Its description in RNAcentral is "bacterial SSU rRNA". It matches the Rfam family "Bacterial small subunit ribosomal RNA", at positions 916 to 1381 of the family's 1533-position model. Lineage: Bacteria; Bacillati; Bacillota; Bacilli; Caryophanales; Anoxybacillaceae. The record is from RNAcentral.
GACGGGGCCCGCACAAGCGGUGGAGCAUGUGGUUUAAUUCGAAGCAACGCGAAGAACCUUACCAGGUCUUGACAUCCCCUGACCAACCCGAGAGAUCGGGCGUUCCCCCGUUCGGGGGGACAGGGUGACAGGUGGUGCAUGGUUGUCGUCAGCUCGUGUCGUGAGAUGUUGGGUUAAGUCCCGCAACGAGCGCAACCCUCGACCUUAGUUGCCAGCAUUCAGUUGGGCACUCUAAGGUGACUGCCGGCUAAAAGUCGGAGGAAGGUGGGGAUGACGUCAAAUCAUCAUGCCCCUUAUGACCUGGGCUACACACGUGCUACAAUGGGCGGUACAAAGGGUCGCGAACCCGCGAGGGGGAGCCAAUCCCAAAAAGCCGGCCUCAGUUCAGAUUGUAGGCUGCAACUCGCUUGCAUGAAGAUGGAGUUGCUAGUAACCGCAGGUCAGCAAUACUGCGGUGAAUACGUUCCCGGGUCUU